This 74-nucleotide transfer RNA is filed under the name Polyangiaceae bacterium. Its description in RNAcentral is "tRNA-Ile". It matches the Rfam family "tRNA". From Rfam's summary of the family: Transfer RNA (tRNA) molecules are approximately 80 nucleotides in length. Their secondary structure includes four short double-helical elements and three loops (D, anti-codon, and T loops). Further hydrogen bonds mediate the characteristic L-shaped molecular structure. tRNAs have two regions of fundamental functional importance: the anti-codon, which is responsible for specific mRNA codon recognition, and the 3' end, to which the tRNAs corresponding amino acid is attached (by aminoacyl-tRNA synthetases). tRNAs cope with the degeneracy of the genetic code in two manners: having more than one tRNA (with a specific anti-codon) for a particular amino acid; and 'wobble' base-pairing, i.e. permitting non-standard base-pairing at the 3rd anti-codon position. The record is from RNAcentral. Lineage: Bacteria; Pseudomonadati; Myxococcota; Polyangiales; Polyangiaceae.
GGGCGUGUCUUCUAGGUGGUUCUGGAUGCUCGGCUGAUACCUGAGCGGUCGUGGUUCAACUCCACGCGCGCCCA